Molecule: ribosomal RNA, 1000 nt
Filed under: Oncodiscus maharashtrae
Lineage: Eukaryota; Metazoa; Platyhelminthes; Cestoda; Bothriocephalidea; Bothriocephalidae
Description: SSU rRNA
Rfam family: Eukaryotic small subunit ribosomal RNA
Source: RNAcentral
CCAGGUAACCAGACUAACUAAAGCGAAAGCAUUUGUCAAGCAUGUUUUCAUUGGCCAUGAGCGAAAGUCAGAGGCUCGAAGACGAUCAGAUACCGUCCUAGUUCUGACCAUAAACGAUGCCAACUGACGAUCCGUGGUGGUAGUUCAUCAAACUUCCCCACGGGCAGUCCCCGGGAAACCUUUAAGUCUUUGGGUUCCGGGGGAAGUAUGGUUGCAAAGCUGAAACUUAAAGGAAUUGACGGAAGGGCACCACCAGGAGUGGAACCUGCGGCUUAAUUUGACUCAACACGGGAAAACUCACCCGGCCCGGACACUAUGAAGAUUGACAGAUUGAUAGCUCUUUCUUGAUUUGGUGGUUGGUGGUGCAUGGCCGUUCUUAAUUGGUGGAACGAUUUGUCUGGUUAAUUCCGAUAACGAACGAAACUCCUGCCUGCUAAUUAGUGCAUUCGUCCACUGUGCCUGUGCAGGCGGUGAUCGGCGAGGCUGCUCUCCUAUGCUGCUGUGGCUGGGUUGCCUUCGUGGUAGGCUGGUCGUGGCAGUGGGGGUGGCUGGUCCGGCGCUAGCUUCCGGGAGCGGCGCGGGUGUUAACUUCUUAUAGGGACAAGCGGGAGAAGCCGCACGAAAUAGAGCAAUAACAGGUCUGUGAUGCCCUUAGAUGUCCGGGGCCGCACGCGCGCUACAAUGACGGUGGCAAUGAGUCUGGCCUCCUGGCCCGAAAGGGUUGGGCAAACUGGUCAAUCACCGUCAUGACAGGGAUCGGGGCUUGGAAUUGUUCCCCGUGAACGACGAAUUCCUAGUAAGUGCAAGUCAUAAGCUUGCGCUGAUUACGUCCCUGCCCUUUGUACACACCGUCCGUCGCUACUACCGAUUGAAUGGCUUAGUAAGGUCAUUGGAUUGGCGCCAUUGUGGUGGUUGCCGCAAAGGUUUCUGCCCGACAAGGUGUUGAGAAGACGACCAAACUUGAUCAUUUACAGGAAGUAAAGUCUUACAAGGUUCCGAG